RNAcentral lists this long non-coding RNA (287 nucleotides) under Olea europaea (common olive). RNAcentral's name for it is "long non-coding RNA (OEUR_LNC001162)". Lineage: Eukaryota; Viridiplantae; Streptophyta; Magnoliopsida; Lamiales; Oleaceae. The record is from RNAcentral.
AUAAAGAAACCCUUUUUUUUUUAUUGGAAUUAUUACUGAUUCCAUUAAUCAGGUACAUGAUUCAUUGAGAUACAACUGCUUUAAGAUAUUUUUCACGCAUGACUUGAAAUUUCACAAUCAUCUUAUCUCGUGGCGGCCAGCAUUCUUUGAUUACUGGAUCAUUGGAGAAGUUCUGCAUCCAUGCUGAUAGCAGUGGAAAUUUCUCUUCAUCAACCAAGUUCAGAUUCAUUAUCUCUUCCAGGAUGCUGAUUAUAUUAGCCGUCCAACCAAAGGCAAUGUCAAGAUAU